Molecule: ribosomal RNA, 423 nt
Filed under: uncultured bacterium
Lineage: Bacteria
Description: bacterial SSU rRNA
Rfam family: Bacterial small subunit ribosomal RNA
Source: RNAcentral
GAAUAUUGGACAAUGGGGGGAACCCUGAUCCAGCCAUGCCGCGUGUGUGAAGAAGGCCUUUUGGUUGUAAAGCACUUUAAGCGAGGAGGGGGCUACCCUAGUGAAUACCUAUAGAUAGUGGACGUUACUCGCAGAAUCAGCACCGUCUAACUCUGUUCCAGCAGCCGCGGUAAUACAGAGGGUGCAAGCGUUUAUCGGAUUUACUGGGCGUAAAGCGCGCGUAGGUGGCCAAUUAAGUCAAAUGUGAAAUCCCCGAGCUUAACUUGGGAAUUGCAUUCGAUACUGGUUGGCUAGAGUAUGGGAGAGGAUGGUAGAAUUCCAGGUGUAGCGGUGAAAUGCGUAGAGAUCUGGAGGAAUACCGAUGGCGAAGGCAGCCAUCUGGCCUAAUACUGACACUGAGGUGCGAAAGCAUGGGGAGCAAAC